AAAAAAGAGCUGAAGAAAUGGUGAUUUGAGCACCUAUGAUUUCUCAUAGUUGUUUUUUGAGGAAAGAUCAAGACAGUUGAAAAUGGCUAUUCAUAUUAUGGAAACUUUUUCUCACAGAGCUUGAUAAUCAGGUAAAAUGCUGGAAGAUUAUUUGAUGUAUGAUAACAACAAGAGAUCCCAAGCAUCAAUUUAUUUUAAAAUUCUGGAAAAGAAUGCAUUUGACCCAAUUUUUGAAUAUUUAUUUUUUGUUUUUACUGUUAAAUAUUCUUCCCAAACACAAUUAGAUUUUAAUUCUCUACAGAAAUUUAUGUAUAAUAUAGAAUGUAAAGUGACAUAUUAAUCACUUAGAAUUUGGUCGGAAAUCAUAAAGUAUUUAAUAGGCAUAAUCUAGAAACCAAAUGUAGAUCAAAUAUACCCAGAAUUACAAAAAACCUUGACCUACAUUAAGGUGACUUUCCCUUGCUUAUGAAAUGAAAUAGGGUUUAAGAUCCUACUUUUCUGUGUUAAUAUGGUGAUUCUGCCCUACAACCUACUCUUAUAUCAAAUAUUUCAACUGUCAAGGGUUGUUUAAAGGGAACCCAGGAGGGCCGAAUGGUUAACACACGCACAUUGGAUCAGAAGGUCUGUCACUGAGUCAGAUAAUUCAAUUGUCAAGGGUUCUUUAAAGUAAACGCAGUGGGGGUAGUUUCAAUUCCGGGCUUAUACCCAAUUAUCCCUUGCCAUGUCCUACACUACUGACGUGUGGGAACUAUGUCGGAAAAUCCAAUUGAAAUUUCUCGGCCAAUGCCUUAUACUCACUGAACCACAGUGACUCCUCCUUGCUUUUGACUUGUGAUUAUUUAUAUAUAUUUUGUACAUAUUAUUUAAUGUUUGCGAUUUUCUCUGAUAUUUUUUUAUUUUUCAAUUCUGUAAUCUUGAUGCUUUGCUCCUUUUAUGUACAAAAUAUUCAUUUUGUUUGUUGUUUUUUUAAUGAGGAAAAGGUUCUACAUCAUUUUAUUACUCCUGCAAAAUAGUGCAUUUUUCUUUUGUUAGUUUUCUGUGUAUGCUAGUUAUUUCUAGAUGCCUCUCAAAUCACUUGUAAUAUGACUUUGUAGCACUUUUCAGUUUCUGAAAGUAUUUCAAUUUAGUGCAUAAUUAAUCUAAUUAGGGCUUGGUUUGGAUGUUAUUAAAUUUAGAUAUAUUUGAAUUAUAUAUUUUUGGGGUAUGGGGUAGGGAUCUUUCUUUUCUCAGUUCUUGUUUUCGGGUAAAGAAAAAAUUAAAUAGCUACUUUGUAUUUUGUGAUGUGGGGGGGGGGGGAGCAAAGUAUAACAAAAUUUUUAUUAGUAUUAGAAUUAUAUCUCUGUUUUUCUGUUAACAUUUCAAAUGAUGUCUAUUUAGUUUUGAUUUGGUGGUGUUAAUUUACUUUUUCCUAUCAUUUUAUGAAUAAAUGAUAAUUUAACAAAUAAAAUUAUUGUUACCUCAUUUAUCAAACUUUACAGGUUAAACAGAGCAAAAGGGGUGGGGGCUGCA
Patella vulgata (common limpet) is the source of this 1509-nucleotide long non-coding RNA. RefSeq lists it as uncharacterized. NCBI's taxonomy places the organism in Eukaryota, Metazoa, Mollusca, Gastropoda, Patellidae. The record is from RefSeq and is a predicted model, not a curated record. The transcript is spliced from 3 exons.